UCCCGUUGAUCCUGUGGGAGAUAGCUGCUAUUUGGAUUCGACUUAGCCAUGCAAGUUUGGGGGUCUUCGGACCACCGGCAAAAUGCUCAGUAACACGUCGUUAACUUGCCCUUUGGUCAAACAUAGCCUCGGGAAACUGAGGGUAAUAUUUGAUAGGAAAUUAUAUCUGGGAUGGUUUUUUUCUGAAACUCGUGCCAAAGGAUAGGACGGCGGCUGAUUAGAUUGUUGGUGAGGUAACGGCUCACCAAGUCUGAGAUCAGUAGGGGCCUUGAAAGAGGGAGCCCCGAGAAGGACACUGAGAUACUGGUCCUAGCCCUACGGGGUGCAGCAGGCGCGAAACCUUUACAAUGCACGCAAGUGUGAUAAGGGGAUCCAAAGUGCUCAUGUUCGCAUGGGCUUUUGCCAAGAGUAAAUAUCUAGGCGAAUAAGUGGUGGGUAAGACUGGUGCCAGCAGCCGCGGUAACACCAGCGCCACGAGUGGCUAUCGCAUAUUCGGCCUAAAGCGUUCGUAGCCGGGUUGUUAAAUUCCUUGUGAAAUCGUAGAGCUCAACUUUACGAACUGCAGAGAAGACUAGCAACCUUGAGACCGGGAGGAGUCAGAAGUAUGUCUAGGGGACUGGUAAAAUGGAAUAAUCCUAGAUAGACUACCUGUGGCGAAGGCGUCUGACCAGAACGGAUCUGACGGUGAGGGACGAAAGCUAGGGGAGCGAACCGGAUUAGAUACCCGAGUAGUCCUAGCUGUAAACGUUGCGAGCUAGGUGUUGCAUAUCCUCCGUGGAUAUGCAGUGUCGGAGCGAAGGCGUUAAGCUCGCCGCCUGGGAAGUACGGUCGCAAGACUGAAACUUAAAGGAAUUGGCGGGGGAGCACUACAAGGGGUGCGGCGUGCGGUUUAAUCUAACUCCACACAGAGAAUCUCACUAGGGGCGACGGCAGUAUGAUAGUCAGUUUGAAGGGCUUACUUGACGAGCCGAGAGGUAGUGCAUGGCCGCCGUCAGCUCGCGCCGUAAGGUGUCCAGCUAAGCCUGGUAACGAGCGAGACCUGUAUCUACAAUUGCUAGCGACUAAUUUUUAGGAUCGUGCACUUUGUAGAGACUGCUUCCGCAAGGAAGAGGAAGGUGCAGGCUACGGUAGGUCUGUAUGCUCCGAAUCUCCUAGGCUACACGCGCGCAGCAAUGAUUGAGACAAUGGGCUACAACACCGAAAGGUGAAGUCAAUCCUUGAAACUCAAUCUUAGUACAGAUUGAGGGCUGUAACUCGCCCUCAUGACGAUGGAAUCCCUAGUAAUCAGAGGUCAUCAGCUUCUGGUGAAUAUGUCCCUGCUCCUUGCACACACCGCCCGUCAAACCAACCGAGCAGGGUUUAAGUGAGAUCUACCUUAAAUAGCUCGAACUUAAGCUCAGUGAGGUGGGUUAAGUCGUCACAAGGUA
This 1427-nucleotide ribosomal RNA is filed under the name metagenome. RNAcentral's name for it is "bacterial SSU rRNA". It matches the Rfam family "Archaeal small subunit ribosomal RNA". The record is from RNAcentral.